UCUCCAAUGGUCUCUGCUUU
This 20-nucleotide unclassified non-coding RNA is filed under the name Mus musculus (house mouse). Its description in RNAcentral is "oocyte_clustered_small_RNA408". Lineage: Eukaryota; Metazoa; Chordata; Mammalia; Rodentia; Muridae. The record is from RNAcentral.